UGAGCGGUUGCCUCGCUAAAAUCGCCGAACCCGAGUGUCUCCACAGCCCACCAACUCGCGGCCUCUCCUCAACCCCACCGCCGCCGCAGCUGUCGCCGUCGCCGUCGCCGUUGCCCCACCUCGUCGCCGAGCGCUCUACAGUGCAGGGGAAUGGCGCCGGCGCCGGCGCCGCCCAAGACGGGGCUGUUCCUGGGGAUCAACAAGGGUCCGGCUUCACCAAGAGCGAGCUCCCGCCCGCCCGUCCAGCCGCAAAGGGGGGAACUGAAAUGCCGCCGGUGAAGACGGGGCUGUUCAUGGGGAUCAAUAAGGGGCACGUUGUCACCAAGCUCGAGCUCCCGCCCCGCCCGUCCGACCGCAAAGGAAUGAGUAUUCUGCUGCCGGAAUCUGAUCAGUUCUUAUGUUCAAGCUGCUUACUUCUCUACAUUAGGCGUGUGAAAAUUGAAACACAGGUAGAAACUUUCUUCAGAGAGGGUGGAAUAACGAUGAAGCUAGUCGAAUCCUAGAGUGCAUCUGUUUAUGUGCAUGUCGUAACAGUGAAACUGCGUGUAGGGAUCGUGCAAUUAUUGGAGUUAUCUGUUGAUGCGACUUAACAAACAUAGACAUGUCACAAUGGUUUUCCAUGAAAUUUCCACACCAAUCUAUCUUUUAGCUUUCCUGCAAAAAACAAGAGAAUGUGUCGUUUAGCUGCUGCAGGCGCGGUGAUAUUGCCUGCUUCUUGGUGGGUGCUGUCAAAACUAGCAAGACAAGCAACGAUGUGUGUGGUGGCCAUAUAGCCUUCUCCGUUUAACCAUUGUAUAUGCUAUAUGAAGUAAUGCAAACUUAGAAGUUGUCAGUCCUUGUCAGUUUAUUUACACACAUUUUUUUGCGAGUACACACAGAAUGUUCAGGUGCCAGCCUGCAAAACUGACGUCUAUUUUCUAUGGGUGCAUAACUGUAUAUUCUUGCUCAAAUCUGAUGUUACCGUUUGAGUUUAGUCGUUCUGUGUGUGUUAUCUCCAGGCCUCAGAUUUCACUGUAAAUUCUGUGCAGUUAUUACAUACUACUCCCUCCGUUCCACAAUAGAUGACUCAACUUUAUACUAACUUUAAUACAAAGUUAGUACAAAGUUGGGUCAUCUAUUUUGGAACGGAGGGAGUAUAUGUUAGAAGUUUCAGUCUAUGGCGGGAGAGUGCAAUUCUGUGAUGAGAUUAUUGAGAAUGACAGCCUAGUAACAUUCUAAAAAUUGGGGAACUGAAAUGCCGCCGGUGCCGCUGAAGACGGGCUGUUCAUGGGGAUCAAUAAGGGGCACGUUGUCACCAAGCUCGAGCUCCCGCCCUGCCAUCCGACCGCAAAGGGGGAACUGAAAUGCCGCCGGCGCUGCUGAAGACGGGGCUGUUCAUGGGGAUCAAUAAGGGGCACGUUGUCACCAAGCUCGAGCUCCCGCCCCGCCCGUCCGACCGCAAAGGAAUGAGUAUUCUGCUUCCGGAAUCUGAUCAGUUCUUAUGUUCAAGCUGCUUCCUUCUCUACAUUAGGCGUGUGAAAAUUGAAACACAGGUAGAAACUUUCUUCAGAGAGGGUGGAAUAACGAUGAAGCUAGUCAAAUCCUAGAGUGCAUCUGUUGAUGUGCAUGUCGUAACGGUGAAACUGCGUGUAGGGAUCGUGCAAUUAUUGGAGUUAUCUGUUGACGUGACUUAACAAACAUAGACACGUGACAAUGGUUUUCCUGGAAAUUUCCACACCAAUCUAUCUUUUAGCUUUCCUGCAAAAAAAAGAGAAUGUGUCGUUUAGCUGCUGCAGGCGCGGUGAUAUUGCCUGCUUCUUGGUGGAUGCUGUCAAAAUUAGCGAGACAAGCAAUGAUGACUAUAUAUCCUUCUCCGUUUAACCAUUGUACGCUAUAUGAAGUAAUGCAUACAUUGAAGUUGUCAGUUCUUGACAGUUGAUUUACACACAAUGUUCAGGUGCCAGCUGCAAGACCGGCGUCUAUUUUCUAUGGGUGCAUAACUGUAUAUUCUUGCUCAAGUCUGAUGGUACCGUUUGUGUUUAGUCCGUCUGUGUGUGUUAUCUCCAGACCUCAGAUUUUACUGUAAAUUAUGUGCAAUUAUCACCUAUGUUAGAAGUUUCAGUCAUUAAUGGUAGUGCAAUUCUGUGAUGAGAUUAUUGAGAACGACAGCUUAGUAACAUUCCAAAAGUGGUAGCUUUCUUAUUUCAGAAAAUUACCAAGAGGGUCCUUUUUAUUCGGAACAUGAUCACGGAAGUUGCUGGAUUUGCACCAUAUGAGAAGCGUGUCACCGAGAUUCUGAAGGUUGGAAAAGAUAAACCUGCACUCAAGGUAGCCAAGAGAAAGCUAGGCACACACAAGAGAGCCAAGAAGAAGCGUGAGGAGAUGUCUGGUGUUCUUAGGAAGAUGAGGUACGUUUCUAUCUUUUGUUCCGGCAGCAGAGAUGUUGCCAACUUCUAAAGACGACUCACUUUUAUCUGACGGACAUAAAGUUUAGCCAUCAAAGCGUGUUGUGACUCUAGCCAAUCAUCUAAAAGUUGCUCCCAGUUGAUUACGAUCCACCUUCGGCAUACUCCUUUAGCAAUAACAUUACUGUAUGGACAUCUAUAUCCGUAAGGCUUAUCUUUGAAUUGAACCAUGUGCUCAUAUAUGUCAUUAUUGCCAUUAUGCUAGUUAGAAUUUUAUUUCUUCUGGAGGAAGUAUGCUACCUAAUGUUAGUGUAACUCAUUUGUACGUACGGUAUUAUCUAUUUCUUGAUUUCUAGCUUUGUA
Aegilops tauschii subsp. strangulata is the source of this 2747-nucleotide non-coding RNA. The record is from RefSeq and is a predicted model, not a curated record. Lineage: Eukaryota; Viridiplantae; Streptophyta; Magnoliopsida; Poales; Poaceae.